AUCGAUAAUCCACGUUAANUUUCACUUUAAUUUAAAAUUUAUAUACCACCAUCUUAAGAAUCAAUUUAAAAUAUCUCUCUAAAAAAUUAAUAAAAAGUUAGGUCAAGGUAUAAUAGACAUUAAAGAAUUAGAUGAAUUACACUAAAUUCUAUUUCAAGAUUAUACAUAAAAAUAUUUAUAUAAAUAAGAAUUUAAAAGUAAUAUUUAAAUAAUAAUAUAAUAUGAUAUAGAUAAUAAAUGUGCACACAUCGCCC
RNAcentral lists this ribosomal RNA (254 nucleotides) under Draconarius bannaensis. RNAcentral's name for it is "partial 12S ribosomal RNA". The record is from RNAcentral. Lineage: Eukaryota; Metazoa; Arthropoda; Arachnida; Araneae; Agelenidae.